RNAcentral lists this non-coding RNA (31 nucleotides) under Mus musculus (house mouse). Lineage: Eukaryota; Metazoa; Chordata; Mammalia; Rodentia; Muridae. The record is from RNAcentral.
UGUACCUCAGAGUACUGUUCUACCUUGUUAA